UUGACCUCGGAUCAGGUAGGGAUACCCGCUGNAACUUAAGCAUAUCAAUAAGCG
RNAcentral lists this ribosomal RNA (54 nucleotides) under Aspergillus flavus. RNAcentral's name for it is "partial 28S ribosomal RNA". The record is from RNAcentral. Lineage: Eukaryota; Fungi; Ascomycota; Eurotiomycetes; Eurotiales; Aspergillaceae.